Molecule: ribosomal RNA, 449 nt
Filed under: uncultured bacterium
Lineage: Bacteria
Description: bacterial SSU rRNA
Rfam family: Bacterial small subunit ribosomal RNA
Source: RNAcentral
GUCGAGGAUUUUUCUCAAUGGGGGAAACCUUGAAGGAGCGACGCCGCGUGGGGGAUGAAGGUCUUCGGAUUGUAAACCCCUGUCAUCUGGGAACAAUGCGCUCCACCUAACACGUGGAUCGUUGAUAGUACCGGAAGAGGAAGCCGUGGCUAACUCUGUGCCAGCAGCCGCGGUAAUACAGAGACGGCAAGCGUUGUUCGGAUUCAUUGGGCGUAAAGGGUGCGCAGGCGGUGCGGCAAGUCGGAUGUGAAAUCCCGCGGCUUAACUGCGGAACGUCAUUCGAAACUGCCGGGCUCGAGGACUGGAGAGGAGACUGGAAUGGUCGGUGUAGCGGUGAAAUGCGUAGAGAUCGAUCAGAACACCGGUGGCGAAGGCGGGUCUCUGGACAGUUCCUGACGCUGAGGCACGAAAGCUAGGGGAGCAAACGGGAUUAGAAACCCUAGUAGUCC